AGGAGGAGGAAGAGAAGGAGUCCUGUGGGGAAUAAGUGUUGGGAUCCACAGGGUUGCAGAAAGUCAGUGACUCCAAUGAGGAGCAAGGGGCCUGAAAGAGAGGAGGACAUCGAAAUUACUUUGGGCAGGACUGCAGGUGUGCCACAUGGUGGUCAUCCAACCAAAGCUAGGCCCAGGGCUCACCAGGAACACUUAUCCUAUUUUAUCACCGGUGCGUAAAGGUCGUUUCCACCGCUCAGUGUUUCUGAGUGUUACUGGCGGCUGAUCCCCUCCCCGGAGCCUCCCGGUCGGGAGACGUUUUCACUGCACCCUGUAGCCCUGAGCUGCCACGCCCCAGUCAGAGGCAGAAGAAAUCGGCUCUUAACGCGUUAAAGGAAAAAUGCAAGAAAAUGAUUUCCUGAAGAAAAUCCGAGGUGAAACUCACCGGACAUGAUGGCUGGGAUGGAGAGAUGAUUCCUGGAGAAGAGCUGAGGGACUCAACAAUGUCCUUUUCUGCCUCAGCAAAAUGGCCAAGAACGAAAUUUCUGCAAAAGUCUCCAAAAAUAGCAACACAAAUGUCUUACAGCAGAGCCAGAGCAUACAGAAUGAUUGUAAUAGAGCUGGGGACAUAUUAGUUUGAGAUUUUCUCCCUCCAUUCCCUCUAUUUAAAACCCCUAGAACUCAAUGAUUUGACAAUGAUUUGAUUGCGCGUUACUUACCAUUUGAAUAUUCAGAGGCAACUCUCUCAAAUCGAUUUUCAGUAAAAUCACUAAGCAUGAACACUGUAUCAAAUCCACUUUAAUCUCAUAUAUUAGUAUUUUACACUUUAACCUCGAAAAAAAUGCACUUUUAUUCAUUUUACCCUCCUUUUGCACUAUCCCAGCAUCAGCCCCCUUCACUUAGCACUGCAGCACCCACGACUGCUUCCGUGCAACCUUAAGAGCGCAUUUCACCUCAAACCUCGCGUUUAGCCUAGUCACGCAUUUUAAAAAGUUUAUUUCAUAAAAAAUACAUUAAAAGUGGCAAAGAGGGAAAGUGGGUGUGGCAAGGGCCAACAGCCCUCGUUGGCAUGGCAGGGCCUCCAGCUCCAUCAGAGUGCUCACACCUGCUGGGAGAACAGGGAGAGAGGCUCAGCAGCUUCACGCACAGUUCUGUCCUUGUCUUGGUUAUAUUUUCAUGAAAAUAAAAAUGCGUUUCAGGAUCAAAGGUUUCCGGUAAAGUGUGCCGUUUAAGAACCGGCCUUUGAAAUGUUUAACUCCCCCAGCAUUAUGAUUUAUGAUCAUUAUGAUCAAAAACGGUUAUUAUUUUAGAUUUUCUAUCAAAUCUGUGUUGAAAUCGAGUAAAUAAAUAAAUAAAUGAAUAAAUAACGAA
Molecule: long non-coding RNA, 1350 nt
Organism: Maylandia zebra (zebra mbuna)
Lineage: Eukaryota; Metazoa; Chordata; Actinopteri; Cichliformes; Cichlidae
Source: RefSeq, a predicted model, not a curated record